GAGAGGCAGCGAUAAAGCUGAGGGAGGGAUGCUAGAUCUAACCUUAUUGACUUUGUCCACAAAGAAAGACAGAAAGUUCUCACAGUCUGCAACAGAGUGGAUGGAGGCUGUAGGAGAAGCAGGAGAGACGAUGCUGCUGAUGGACCUUGGGGUUCCCUUUGCUCUGGGACACCAGGUUGUAAAAAUAGCAAACCCUGGCGACUCUGACUGCAGAGUUAAAGGAUGUCAGAAGAUCCUUUAGGUUUAGCAGAUGGACGUGCAGAUGGGUUUUCUUCCACAAGCGCUCAAUUUUUCUGCAUUGGCGCUUCAGGCUACGAAGGUUGCCAUUAAACCAGGGAGUAGGGUUCACUGCAGGAACUGAUCUGGUUCUGACAGGACAGAUGUUGUCCAGAAUGGAGAGGUAGUGCUCGUUAAACUGAGAAGUCAAGGAAUCUGGGUUGUUAUCAGAAGAACAGGGUGGAUCAAAAGCAGCAGAAAAAUUUCUAGCUGUGCUCUCAUUGAGAAAACGAGAACUAACCAGACGGCGAGCAGGAGGUGGGGACGCAGAAACUGACAAGUUAAAGAAAAUGCAACGGUGAUCUGAAAUAUAAAUGUCCUCAGGACAAACACUGUCAGCAUUUAGACCCAGGGUAAAAACAAGGUCUAGAGUGGUGCCCCCUGGUGUGUGUGGGGUCAGAAACAUGCUGGGUAAAGCUGAAGGAGUCCAUAAGGCUGGAGAAAUUCAUGGCAAAGUGGUCCGAGGGAUCAUCAACGUUGAUGUUAAAGUCACCAACAAUGAUGCCAACAAUAAAAGCAAAAUCCUUUUAUUCUUAUUCUGGUGCUUUUUAUUGACGAUCGAUGAAUUGAAAAAGCUAACUGCUAGCCUUUAUUGCUGUAAAGCUGGUAGAGACCUCCCACUAGUGUACCCACCUGAACCACAGAAAUGUUAAGUGUAGUUUCUUGUCAGCAGAGGGCAAGUGAGCGCUGUCCAGUGUGAAGUUGUUGAAGAACCACUGGAACCAGUUUGAGAGCAAAAAAAAAAAGCGUUAAAAAUGUAAAAGAUAAAGGGUUAAAAUCUCUUUAGUGUUUCUUCAAAUAAGCUGCAUGCACAAGUCAACCUAAAUCAAGGUGGCUGACAAACCUAAAUUAACAUAACAAACUUAAAAAGUGGUCUGUCUUAGUCAGUUUAUAGACUGAGCUAAACUUUAAAGUGUAGCUAAUCACAGCAUGCUAACCCCGGCUUCACACUGAAAGCAUCAGCGGCGCGGAACGGCGCUGUUUCAAAUAGAAUCUGUUAUAUUCUUUGGAGUGUCUCAAACCUGCAGCGGUGUGACAAUUUCCAGGCAUGUCCCAGAAGCGGCACGCUGCUGAAGAUAGGAUCAGGCUCUAUUUUUCCAUGAGCCGCUGCUGGGACACAUCAAUUUCCACAGUUAACAUAGGACUAGACAGGAAAUCAGAAUAUAAAUAAAAGUACUGCAGCAAUGCAAUUUCAUGUAUAUUAUGAAGCUUAUGUGUGACCCAACGGCUCAUUUACUUACUGCAUUGUUCCAGACCAGAAGUGCAGCAGUGUGUUUUCAUGGCUUUAUUACUGGCAGUGGAGAGGAACAACAUCAUGUAUGACAUCAAACAGUGAUGACAACGUGAUUUCCUUCUUUUUGGUUUAAUGGCAGAUUGCAUAAACAAAUCAUGACCUGAAGUCUUGAGGGAUUUUGAGAUCUCACGAGUCCAGUGAAGAGCACAGCGAGGAAGCCUCGCUGCUGCCAAGACUCUCCCAUUGUGAAAAGAACCGCUUUGAAGUUCACGAGUAAACCAUUCCACUGCCGUUUCGCGCCGCUGAUGCUUCCAGUGUGAAACCGGGGUGGGCAAGGCAAGGCAGGGCAGCUUUAUUUAUACAGCACAUUUCAUACACAGAGGCAAUUCAAUGUGCUUUCCAUUAGCAAGAAGAACAUUAAAAUCAAUGUGACAGAAAAUACAAUUUAAAAAUUAGAAAGAAACAAAGUUAAAGGGUGAGCAAAUACGAUGCAGAAGGUGCUGCAUAAGAACAUUUAUUCAAAGACUGAUGAAAACAUGAAUGUUUUCUAUUUUGAUUUCAAUGUUUCUAGAGUUGGGGCACAUUUGAGGUUGGUGAAGCUGAUUUCGUCUGUGUGCUGCAUAGUAGCUAAAAGCAGCUUCACCCUGUUUGGUUCUGACCUGGGUUCUAAAAGCUUACUGCCUCCUAAGGAUCUCAGUGGCCUGCUGGGCUUAUAUACUUGACGGAUAUCUGACAUGUAUUCUGGCCCCAUGCCGUUGAGUGAUUUAUAAACUAGUAGAAGCACUUUGAAAUCAACUCUGUAGUUUACUGGUAACCAGCGUAGGGAUUUAAGAACAGGAGUGAUGUGCUCGGUUCUCUUGGUUCUUGUGAAGACUCUAGUGGCGGCAUUCUGAAUAAGCUGCAGUUGCUUCCCAGCUUUUUUGGGAAGACAAGUCAAAAGACCAUUGCAAUAGUCCAGCCUGCUGUAGAUGAAUGAGUUUCUCUAGGUCUUGUCUGGACAUGAGACCUCUGAGUUGUGCUAUUUGAUGCAGAUGAUAAAAUGCUGAUCUAGUUACAGCCAUAAUGUAACCAGUGAAGCUCAGGUCUGAAUCAGUUAUGACACCGCAAUUUCUGACCUGGGUCUUUGUCUUUAUUCCUCUUCAUUCCUCAAAGAAAGUGUGUGCAUGGUUUUGCAAAACUGCAAGUGAUUGCAUUAUAACUUUUCACCAAAGAAUCUAAACUCCUUAAAUUUUAACGCUGUGGUGUGAAAAGCAGUGAAGAAAAUGCAUUCCUCCGAGGUUUUUAAUUUUGGGGUUUUAGCUAAUGCUAGCUAGUUGCUGCUGCAUUCUUUCCACAUCCUGCAAAAAUAAACUCAAAUUACAUUGUUUUGCUAUAUUUUGUUGUGUUGUCUUUGUCACAGUAGACAUUUAAACCUUCAAGUGCAGAAAAGCACAGGUAUAACGUUGGCUGCAUUCCAAUUCUGUCACUGGGUUGUUCUGUAGAACGGCUAACGAGCAGAACUUUUUCUAAAAGGAAUCUAUCCCUUGCCAAUUUUCCGUACUCUCCGAAGUGAAAAUAUCAGAUAUAAGAAAUUCUUAGAUCAUGCUCAACUCCAUCAUUCCUCAUUUUUCUUUGGGGGAAUUCCACAAAAUAAGUCUUGAAAGCAACAGAGUUUUCCAUUCAAUUUGAUGUGAAACAUUUUCCAUGGCUUUUUUAUUUUCACCUUUUGCGUUGCGCUCUUUGUCCUCAUACCCUGAGCCACUCCAGCCUUCAGCACAAGAACGAUCUCCUUUUAAUACCACUGAUCUCUAAGAGCAUCUAUUUGCACUCACGGCAUUGCUGUUUGCAUUAACAUAAAUUGUCCUGCAAUACCAUUUCAAUCCUAUCCAUUUUCCCUUUUGGAGCAUCACAUUCGAAUUCAGAUGAAACUCAUUCUCUAACCUUCUCCUGUAAUGUGUAGAGCUCUAAACCACAUUUAUCUUCUAUAUUGUUGUUGCUUAUGCCUCUAAAGGAUGAGCAGGUGAUCCCUGCAUUUAGAUUCCCUGCAGCAUGUGCUGAGAAGCAGCUUUAUUCCUCAAAAUAAGACCUGCUCUUCUUAAGAGAGACACUAUUACAUAUAUUUUUCUCUAAAUGCCCCGAUUUGAUGCAGACCUGUCUCUAUUUAUUUGCAGUAGCCGAUCUAACAGCAGCGCAGCCUGGGAGGCAGCCAGCCCGUCCCGGAGAGGGCCUGAGUUGCACAUGAAUGUCAUCACAGCCCGUCCUGCAGAGCUCAGCUCAGUCACAAGCCAAAUGAUCAAGACUGAUCACAACGACAGAUUUUUAUGUGCUUAAAUUACAGCAGCUAUAUUCAAGAUCAAGAUUUACAAUUCUCCAAUAACGUUCCAGUUUUACCUUGCUGUAUGAGGUCACGGAGACAGCAGCCUCAGCAGAGAGACCCAGACUUCCCUCUCCCCAGGCACCUGGGCCAGCUCCUCUGGGGGAAACCCAAGAUGUUCCCUGGCCAGCCGAGAAACACAGUCCCUCCAGCAUGUCCUGGGUCUUCUAUUAGGUCUCCUCCCCAUUGGAGGUGCCUGGAAAAUCUCAAUAGUGGGCUGCCCUGCGAUGGACUGGCAACCUGCCUGGGGUGCACACUGCUUUCAUGCGUGGAGACAGCUGGAGAUAGGCACCAGCCCCCCCACAACCCUGCGAGGAUAAGCGGGUAAAAAUAAUGGAUGGAUGGAUGGAUGGAUGGGUGUUUUAGUGGGCUAAGCACUGUAUCUGCAAAAAACUACAAAGAUGCCGUCAUGUUGUUUGUUGCUCUGAUUGGUCCUAGCACUGUUCAAUUGUGUGCAGAGACAACUGUAGAUUCGCCCCUAAGAUUAGAUUCUUUCAAUGGGUUGUGGCCAGACCAUAUAUUUAUGUAGACAGGAUGGCUUGCUAGGCGAGAUGUAUUGCUUUUUAUGAAUCCAUUUGAGCUCCCAAAGUAAAUGGGGGCUUGUCUGGGAUUCACACUCAAAACUUUUUGAACCUUAUGAAAGACAAUCUUGUAGAUGGGUUUGCACACUAAUGUUUAGCCAUCACUCACUUGACUGUGACUAAUCUGAGAGACACAAUUGUGGGAUAAUAAGCAAUAUGCAAUGCCAUAUUGCAUAUGCAAUGUAAUAUGCAAUAUGGUCACGUACAAAACAAGAUUAACAAAUGGCCAGGUCACAUGGGGCAAAAAUGCAGGUGCAUACAUUUUGCAUGAGUCCUUUGUAAGUUUUCCUGUGUCACAAAUUGCUUUAAUGCUGGCUGAAUAUGUUAGUAAGUUAAACCAUUUCCAAAGUUAUCUCACAUGUACUUUCUGAGCCACGCAAGCUAAGUUUGCAAUGGAUCACAGACAUUCAUGAUGGCUCACAAAUGGUUUUUUUACAUGUCCAAAUUACUUGUGCCAGAAGGAGAACCUGCAACUCACAUGAGUAAAAUGAAAACAAUCCUCACACACGUUUGGGAGAUUUCCGGAUACUUCUUCACCAAAACGGUUUGCAAUUUGUCAGUUGCACCAACCAUUAUUCCAACUUUAAAUUUGCCUGCCAACUUGUUUACCCACCAUUUCAUAGUACACUGUCCCAACCACUUUUCCUGUUGCAUCCAGGCAUCCAGCUGGGCACUCGUACCUGUUGAUUAACGCAUAAAUGUCCAUUGUUACAAAUACUGUAUACUCUGAGAUAAUUUGAGGGUGUGUGUAUGUCUCUCCAUCACUUCACCUGUUACAAGUUGUUCCUUUACAUUGAUCUCGUAGCUUGGUGUCACAGGUUACAAGUUGAGCUGAAACACAUAAACAUAGAAGCCUCAGAGAGAGUGUUCUUACAGGAAACAGCAUAUAAGAACCAGCAGCUCUGAUGCGGAUCACUGGCUUCAAAAAGGCGAUGCUGUGCAAAGCCCAGGGGAAGGUAUUGUUACAGCACUUCCAGAACCGAAGACAAACAAAUAAUUCUGCAGUGAGGUUCAGGGUGGUCAGCAAAUACUGGAGGAAAUGUCUCAUCUUGCACUCACAGGCUCCUCGCACUGCAGCGAGGAAGCCAUUUAAAAACCACAGUGAGCCCCUCUCACCCCUCCUCAGCCAGCCAAAAACAAACACACACUCAGGGGAUCCUGCUAAAAUAAAGUUCCCCUCCCUCCCCUAAAGAGCAACGUGCAAUAUUGUGUGGAGUUCAGAGACUGUCAGUACUGAUCAGAGAGAUGACAAAUAAAAGCUGUCGUACAUUCUGGCAAUCUAAGGAGAAAAAUGGGGGAAACAUGGUUCUGUCACAGUCUGUUUUCUUUCUUUUAUUAUUUUUUUAAUAAUUACCUCAUUGACACUAAAGCAGUUAGUCUGAAUUUACUUGGUUCUGACCCAGUUCUCAAAGGCAGGUUUAUCUGUACAGUACAUGUUAUACUCUCUGCCAGUCCCAUACCUAAAACCAUACUCUGCACCCCCCAAUUUAGAUGAAACUACAUGCCGAAUGAACACUUAAACGACAGCUUACACAUCUGCUGUGUGUUGACCACUUCAUUCUUCUGCAUGUCCUCUCUGGGGGGCUUGGUGGUGGCCGGGACUGGGGCAGGGAGGCUGGGAGGUUCCGGCUUGGAGGCCUGGGGCCAGGGCUUCGUACCGCGAGGGGCCUCUGGCUCAAUAAAGUUGUUUUCUUCUGUUUCCUCUUGCAGACGGUUGGAUCUGUCAUCUUCAACUAAGGAUACAAAAACAGGGAAUGACAGGCUUGUUUCACCAGGCCUUUUUUAAACCCUCUGGGUUUGUGUAGCACUAGCAUACCUUUGUAGCAAAGGUUGUCCUUGCAUCCUCCUCCAUAGCUUGGAGGGCAGGCAGAACACGGGGAUCCAUGUUUGUAAGGUGCGUGACCCCACCAGUUCCCCCUGUUAAGGCAGCAUAACAUGCAAGUUUUACAUGUAAAGACGCAAAACACAAACUACUAAUUUUCUUGAAGUGGACACACGCUCAUUAUUUUAAUCAAUCUGUUGUGGUGUCUAGUGUAAAUGAAUGCCUUUUGAGUCUAUUGCCGCUUUCAUAAGACACGCCGUGCCAGCAAAUCAGUGUAAUACUGCCACCAUGGUGUAACUCAUUAAAGCGCCGAGGCAGCAUGACGAUGUGGGAACUGUGUGACAUUUGUGCCAUCAUGCUUGGUGGUAAUGUUGCCACAAAACCAGACUUGUAAAUGAUUACGCCUUGACGCAACAUAAGGUGGUGUCAUGAUCACGUGUGGAAUUGCUGCCUAACUCCGGCCGGCAACUGUAUUAAGAAUUAAAGUAAACAUUUAUUUAGCGUUUGUUGACAGAUUCAGCUGAGAUGGUAAACUGGUCUGCUCUGGGAGCUUCUCUCCAUUAGAGCAGAAGCGCAGAGCAGUAGACAGUUCACGGGGUCUGUGGAGGACAGACACCGUUAAGACCGGCUUGUCAACAAAACUUCAAUCUCAAUAAACAGCAAGUUAUGUUCAAUCCUAAAGAAUGUCUGUAGCAACGCAGAGACCAUUCCCAUACUCCCUUUAUAACGCCACUGUGUAAUCUUUUGUAAAAAGGAUGCAAUUGCGCCAUGACGCGAUAGUACAGGAUCUGCUCGGGUGCAAGAUCGGCUCGGGGUCCUUCGACUGCAGAUGAUGUCAAAGUACGGCAAACCCACUCGGACAUUAUACACUACACAUCUAUACUGUUGGAAAGACUUUAGCAGUUUUGUUAUUAAAAUAAUGUUUCUUAAGACGUAAGUUUGUGUUUAUAAUGGUAUUUGUAAAAUAAAACACUAUAUUUUAUUCAUAAUGUUGAACUCCUCUUUGAGCACAUCCCUUGAAGGAUCAUAGGUAUUAGCAACACCUGUGAAACUGUAUUCGCAGGAAAGAAGUGUGUCCCGUUUAUUGAAGUAUUUUGUGUUUAGAGUUUUUGACGUCUUGUUCGUGCGUAGUUCAGUUACGCUCAUAGCUGCUAGCCAAAACUCUGGAGUUAAAAGUUUUCUGGCUUUACUAAAAUACCUAUCUGUACUUAUUUGAUUGAUGAUAGUUUUACUUUCUAUUAGACUCCAAAUGUAAUCAUUUGGCACGUUUCUAAUUCAUAAUUUGUAAUAAUGUAAUCGGUGAUAUUAGCAUUAGCAUUCCUAUGGGUUUUUCCAUGUAUAUUAGCAUUGCGCUAACCACUCGCUGCCAAAUUGCAGCCUUUGCGAUUAGAAAAUCUCCUUUUGUCACAUCGCAAUUUAAUUGCACAUGCAGUUAAUCGUUCAGCCCUAAUAUACAUGCAGUUCUAUGCUAAAAGUGUAUUUUCAAAGAGGUAAUGAUGGAUUUCUUUGUAAAAGUUGUCCAUCUUUCCAACAGAAAGAUUUGCCUGGACCAACGUAACCUGAUAACAACGUAACCUGAUAACAACGUAACGUGAUUACGUAAUUCCGUAAGGUUCAUGGUCAGACAGCCAAUCAACUACUUAGACGUCAUCGGUAGUCGACGGACCCCGAGCCAAUUUUGCACCCGAGCAGAUCUUGUACCGACACCGCCACUUAUGAAUGACGAAAGGCUCCCAGAUGCCAGAUCAGCAUUGCGGCAAACUGGUACUGGAAAUAAAAAGUUUUUGUGCUUCUUUUUCAGGAGGUAGAAGUUAGUUGGAGAUACAGUUUAAUGGCAGUGACACACAUGCUUACUUUGGUGAGUAAUUGCAGACAAGAUACACAGCUUUGGUCCAAAUCUGGCCCCAAACAUUCAUGUCGUAGCACAAGUUGAUGGCACAGCCAAUUCGGCUGCUGGUGGCCCAAACCAGCUGGAAAAGAAGACAAGUGUGAAUCACAAACCAUGAAUGUGACUCGUAUUAGUGAAAUUGACAAAGAAAAUCCUAUUCUUGGUGUGGUUACCUGGGUGUAAUGUGUGCAAACUGGGCCGGAGCAUCUGAACGGACAGUAGGGGUUACACUCUUGGGGGUAAGGGAAGGAGUAAUCCUUGACUUCAUCAUACCAGGCCUGAACGUGGGACGUAGGAGGGCGAUAGCUGGUGACAUCGGGAAGCAGACAUUCAACAACGUAUCAUACUACACUUUUUUAGCUGCGUGUUGGUUCGUGUAGUUUCUCGAGGUUACUCGCUGCAUUCUGCUAGCUGUAAUCCCAAAAGAAAUUAGCAAAGGAUUAUUUUGACUGGUAUUUUUAUGCAUUUCUUUAAUAAAUUUGGUUCUAUGUAGUCAACUUGGGAUAUUUAGAACACUGAAUAAAACAUAAACCCCCAUAAAAGUUGCACGGAAACAUCCAGCGGUCUCUGCUUUGUAACAAAGGCUGCUGAUCUGGGACCAGGUGUUGGCGAGUAAUCUGGCUGAAAUCAGACAUCAUCUUGAUGGUGAGGAGAAUUGAUGGGAUGUGGAAUAAAAAGUCUUUAAUGUGAAGCUCAGGUGUUUUCAUUAAGAUGAAGGGCAGAGUUUCCUCUGAUCUUCACUAAGUGGCAGCUGUGUAACAUGUCGUCCUUGAUGUUUACAGAAACAAAAGUUUUAUGAAUUAGAGUAUAAGCAUUAGAGUGUAUAGUAUGUCUUAAAUGUUUCCUGCUGGGCUGGGUGUUGGUUUUGCUACUUAUUCUGCAUUGCACCAAAUCUCUUCUGCUCCUGCAGGCAGCAGGUCCACAGGAGAUCGAGCCCAUGUUAAUGUCUUGACCUAGGCCCAUCCAGUGCUCACAAUAGUCCCUCCCGGCCACAACUCCAGUGUGCACCCAGGUUCUGUCCGAUCUGUGGGAGUAAGCUGGCAGGCCCGUGCUCCCACAGGCAGGUCUCUGCCCACUCCUCGGCUGAACGCUCCAAUUCUGUGUCCCAUGACUGUGCAGGUAGGAAAAUAAAGUGUUAGCUUUCUGGAUUCAACUGGAUGCAAAGUUGUGGUUU
Molecule: non-coding RNA, 9328 nt
Organism: Nothobranchius furzeri (turquoise killifish)
Lineage: Eukaryota; Metazoa; Chordata; Actinopteri; Cyprinodontiformes; Nothobranchiidae
Source: RefSeq, a predicted model, not a curated record